ACUCCUAUCUCCUUGGAAAUUGGCAUUGAACAAAAACUUCUUUUUUCAAAAACCUGGUGUCAUAGUAUUGGUUUCUAGCACAUCAGACAGGGAGCCCCCUUUGCUCUUUAACACUGGCAGAUACUAUGCUCUUAUGUUUGAGAAGCUCAGAUCAUCUCCACCUGCAGCCAAAAUCUUUAAGACUAGAAGGGGCUUCACCAAGACCCACCCAGCGAUCUCAGGACAGUUCCUGGAUAUCUCAGGGAAGACGUCCAGAAUACAACCUAAGAUGCGUACAAACCACCUUGAUCUGUUUCAUGGACUCAGAGCCUCCUGUUCUCGGCUUUGUGUAUAGAUAAUGUGAAUAACAACAACACUGAGAUAUCACAAAUGUAUUUGUAUUCAUGGGUAAACUGUGUGUGUACAUGUGUAUGUACAUGUGCAUGUGUAUGAGAACAUACACACGUGUAUGUGCAUAAGAGUAAAAAAAAAAAUUUCUGAAUGGAAAGAUGCAGAUUCCAGUUCUGUGUGUUGUUUUUCAUCAAGAAAUGAUUCCCUAUGCCCAUUUUCCAACUUGUGAAGUUAACUCUCCUUUAUUAAUACCCCAAAAUGCCUCCUUUAAGUUUUUGGGAGAUAACUCCAGUGGAACCAUGAAAUAACCAUGGAACUGGGGCCAUUUCCUUAUUUUUUUUUUUUUUUUUUUUUUUUUUUUUCUGAGAUGGAGUCCUGCUCUGUCACCCAGGCUGGAGUGCAGUGGUGUAAUCUCAGCUCACUCCACCUCCCAGAUUCAAGUAAUCCUCCUGCCUCAGCCUCCUGAGUAGUUGGGAUUACAGGUGCCCACCACCAUGCCUGGCUAAUUUUUGUAGAGACGGGCUUUCACCAUAUUGGUCAAGCUGGUCUCAAACUCCUGACCUUAGGUGAUCCACCUCUCUCAGCUUCCCACAGUGCUGGGAUUACAGGCGUGAGCCACCACGCCUGGCCUAUGCAUCUUGAAUCUUAUUGGAGAGUUCAAUAUCCAUUUAUGCCCCAAGUCCUCUACUUUUGGGCACCCUCUGGUGCCCAGCACUGUGCUCAGAUCAUAGAAAAUGCUAUCCCCACCCUGCUGUCAAGGCCGCAGGAAGAGCCAGCAUCAGAAGCCUAGGAGACGAUGUAGGCGGGAGAGACAAGACGCCCCCAUCUCCUUCACUUCAAGAACACGUGUCCCCCAGCAUGGAGGGCAGGAUAGAGCUGCUCAUUUCAUGUUAGCCCUUUUAUGUUUCUGUUUUGAAAUUUGAUGUUCAAAAGCUCACAGGCUGUAGUAGGCAAUCAAUCCAAAUGGAAAUGUGUAAGGGCCAGCGGACCCCUGCCACCAGGCCUGGCUAAUUUUUUGUAUUUUUAGUAGAGACGGGGUUUCGCCGUGUUAGCGAGGAUUGUCUGAUGGAUUCUCACUCUGUCACCCAGACUGGAGUGCAGUACACAAGCUCAGCUUACCUCAACCUCCAUCUCCCAGGUUCAAGCGAUUCUCCUCUUUCAGCCUCCUGAAUAGCUGAGAUUAUAGGCGCGCGCCACGAUGCCAGGCUAAUUUUUGCAUUUUUGAUUACAGGUGUGAGCCACCGUGCACGGCCUGGACCUGAGAGUGCUCUUUCUCUCUGUGCUGUACCUCCCUUGGGGAGCAGAGAGACAGCA
Molecule: long non-coding RNA, 1644 nt
Filed under: Homo sapiens (human)
Lineage: Eukaryota; Metazoa; Chordata; Mammalia; Primates; Hominidae
Description: non-protein coding lnc-ATP6V1B2-10:1
Source: RNAcentral